This is a long non-coding RNA of Vitis riparia (riverbank grape), 287 nucleotides long. RefSeq lists it as uncharacterized. NCBI's taxonomy places the organism in Eukaryota, Viridiplantae, Streptophyta, Magnoliopsida, Vitales, Vitaceae. The record is from RefSeq and is a predicted model, not a curated record. The transcript has 2 exons.
UCAUAUGGUUGGUCAUUUUACUAUAGCAUUUUUUUUUUUUUUUUGGUCAAUUGAACUGAGGGAAUUGUAUAUGUCACUCCAAUUUAGUUUUGCGGGAAGAAAUCAUAUAGUGAAAUGGAAAUUAAUGAAGUUCGAUCAGAUUGGGUUAUGUUAGCGACUCAGUUAAUCAUUACUCAUGUUUGAAGUUGGCAGUGUUUUCAAUAUGGAUCAUUUUGGGGGUUGCUCUAUUAUGAUUGAUGUAUAGUUGGCAUAUUGAGAGGUGAAGCCAAGUAGACAUGGUAGGUGUA